This 460-nucleotide ribosomal RNA is filed under the name uncultured bacterium. Its description in RNAcentral is "partial 16S ribosomal RNA". It matches the Rfam family "Bacterial small subunit ribosomal RNA", at positions 338 to 795 of the family's 1533-position model. The record is from RNAcentral.
CCUACGGGUGGCAGCAGUGAGGAAUAUUGGUCAAUGGACGGAAGUCUGAACCAGCCAUGUCGCGUGCAGGAAGACGGCCCUAUGAGUUGUAAACUUCUUUUGUACAAGGGUAAACCUCAAUACGUGUAUUCUGCUGAAAGUACUGUACGAAUAAGGAUCGGCUAACUCCGUGCCAGCAGCCGCGGUAAUACGGAGGAUCCAAGCGUUAUCCGGAUUUAUUGGGUUUAAAGGGUGCGUAGGUGGAUUGUUAAGUUAGAGGUGAAAUGUUCGAGCUUAACUGGAGAACUGCCGCUAAUACUGUUAAUCUAGAGAGUAGUUGCGGUAGGCGGAAUGUAUGGUGUAGCGGUGAAAUGCUUAGAGAUCAUACAGAACACCGAUUGCGAAGGCAGCUUACCAAUCUAUAUCUGACGUUGAGGCACGAAAGCGUGGGGAGCAAACAGGAUUAGAUACCCUAGUAGUC